RNAcentral lists this unclassified non-coding RNA (4360 nucleotides) under Hevea brasiliensis (rubber tree). The record is from RNAcentral. Lineage: Eukaryota; Viridiplantae; Streptophyta; Magnoliopsida; Malpighiales; Euphorbiaceae.
CUCCUUUAUGAUGCUUUCACAAAGUCUAUCAAAUGUGGAAAGAAAAGGCAAAAGAGAAGGAAAUUUGGCAACAAAUUCCUAAAACCAUUCUGUAACCUCCAAAACCUCGUUAUUCCUGGACCUCAAGAGUCGGACGGAACUCAGAAUCACGUGAAUCCGUUGGAGCAUAUUUCCAUUGUCAAUUCAACAAUUCGCAAUCCAUUCAAUGGACGUGGUUGAUAAUCGUUUGGUAAUCCUCCAUCUGUCAUUACCAAUUUGGUCAAUUUAAUAUUAAUAUAUCACUUCGACUUUCGGACCGUCGCUUUCUUAUCCCUUGCCAAAUUUUUCUUCAAUUAUACGCAUAUGAUGAUACCCCACAUCCAACCAUUUUCAAUACAAUAACACUUAAUCUCAAAGUUCCACUUUUUUUUUUCCUUUUAAUUAUUUUUUUUUUCCAAUUUUCAUCUUGAAGGAAAAAAGGAUAAUAGAAGAAAUAAAAAUAAAAUGGUCGCAAAGGUAAUUCCAAUAGAAUGGCCCUGACACUGAUGUUAAGAGGAAUCAAUCCAAAUAGGGAAAAAUUUGGAGCAACCAAAGACCGCAUUGACAAUUACUCCUCGCUAAGAAUGUUCCUCCUUAACUUCAAUAUUCUUUUAACUCAGAAAAAUCUCCUUCCCUGGAUCAGGCGCUUGUUUUUACUACCUAGAUUUAUAUCUCCACACCCUCCUGUGCUCUCAUUAUCCAUCCCACUUCCACAACUGUAUCUGUCUGCUUCCACAAAUUCUCACUAUUUUGCUGCUGUUUCAUUUGUUUAUUUCACUUUUGGACAUCCAGACUCACACUUGAUCAUCCAUGUUAACCACAACACUUCCCAUUAGCACAUAACUUGGUAAACUUCCGCACAUGAUGCCACCAUAGUUUAACGGAGAUCAACUAUCCUCUUAUCGCUUCUUUUUGCUCUCCAUAACCUACCCAGAAUCCAUAUUUUGAAUAAUUUUGGGGCUCCUGCAAUCCACAUGUGCCUCUACUUAAAAGAACCCUCUUUCCAAUUCUUCAGCACAUUAGUAGAUCCAAAUCAAACGGAAGGCGAACCCACUAGUAAUAAUUGGAGGUUAUAAUAACUAAUAUUGUCCAAAUUAAGCCGACCAAUAUCUACUCCACCCCCCAACCAUUACAACCCGACUCAUCUCCAACUUUAGCUAGAACUUGAUGUUAUAUUUAUCCGGUCUUAAUUUUACCAGAAGGGUUAUGAUUGUUAUGGUUUAAUGGCAAAAUCUUGCUCAUUUGCUCUCCGAUAUAGCAAAGCUGAAGCUUCCACCCACCCAGGGUAGACAACAAAUCGUCCAGUGGAUAAAGCCCAAUUCACCUUAUCCGUUCCAAGUGAAUUGGCAACUACAUGAGUGACCUGUUCGUCUAUCUGGUUUGUGCAGACAGCACCAAACUGUUCAGCUGUCUGCCAGAGCGGAUGUAGAUGGGGAUUGGCUUCACCAACAGGAAACACCCUGCUAAAUACUAUUCGGCAGCCAGCCAAAAUCUUCCUCUGCUCGGAUGCAAGGAUAUUUCGAACGUCUGCUUCAUCUAAGGACGGGUGAGUAAAAAAGUUUUGAUGUAUUCUCUCAAUAACCGCCAACGAGCAUGCCAAAGUCCCAUCUUCUGGUCUCUCGUCAUGGUCAAUCUCAAGAAGAGAAGGCCCUGGCAGACCAAAUUGGCGUCUACUACAAGGAAAAUAUAUAUACCUUUCUACAACAAUCAAGUUCAACUUGUUAUGUGGCCAGACUCUCACAGAAUCAUCUAUAAUGACAACAGCAGACUCCAUACCCAAGACCCCCUCAAGAUCCUUACUCUUGGGAACCCUCUCAUCGCUAUCAAAGGGAUCCCCAUCAUCACCCCUGGAAAUAACUCGUCCAUUAAACAAAACCCCCGUAGGAUCCAGAACUUUUGCCAUUUCUGUGGCAUACAACUUGUUCCCCAUUGUGUAAAGAUGCAGCUCAUACAGUUUACUAGCCUUUUCCAAGAAAUUCCAUAUCCCAGGACGCAAUUUUGUCCACAUUCCCAUAUGAGGGAAGCGGAAUAGAUGUCUCUGUGGUUUUUCAUGAUCUUGUUCUUCCUUCUUUCGCAAGAUCUCAUCAUGCACAGGAUCAAUUUCAACAAACUUGGCAGAAUUAAGAAGUGUAUGAUCAAGAUCCAACACAAGGCAGAGCUUGUUUGCAGCAAACAUUUUCUUUUGUUCUUCUAUCCUUCUUGCCCUCUCUCUCUGUAUAGCAGCUUUUUGCUGGUCAUUAUAUCCUUCAAAGAUAUGAUCAAAAUCUCCCCAUGUGUUCUGUGAACGAGGAGCUACUGAUGCUACACCAGGUGGUAAACCAAUUCCAGUUGGCUGCUCAGAAUUUAACACCACAGUUCGCACAUGUUGAGAUACAAGAUUCUGAGAAACAAGAGGUGGAGUUGAUGCAUUGGAAACAGACACAAUAUCAGCAAUAUUUUUCAAACUCUUCGUAAAUGGCAAAGAAAUAUCUGGCGCCACAAGAGAUUGGGUAGGCACUGGUUUCAUUUCCACUUGACCCUCUUGAUUUUGCACAUUCUGAUUUUCCUUGGUACCUUGGCUGGUUGAUGUAGAGAUUAAAUUUGUUUUGAACUGUUCAGACCCCAAGCUCCCAUUCCUUUGGAGUGUAUUAUUAUGAAGAACACGACGAGGAUCCCGUGGUUUCAUACGAAUUUUUCCCAUCUCAUCCGAAGCAGCCAAUUGAGGAACCUGAAGUGCCCCUGCUGGUCUUGGCAAAAUCCCUGUGGACUGUGGGGGAGCAACAUUAACCACAGGUAGAGCUCCCAGUAUAGAAUUUGUGUUCGGUGGAUGUGUUGUACUUUUAGCAAGAUCAACAGGCUUCUGCUGUGCCUCUAUUGCUAAUCUCUGCUGUUGUCCCAUUUUGAGUAUACUGAUCAACAUUGUUGGAUUCACUGCAAUGUUUUUCAAUAAAUCAGGCAGAGAUGUUGCACUAGCACUCAUCACUGGGACCUGUUCAGCUCCAGCUACAGCACUGGCUCCUGUAACUUGUAAUUGCUCAUUUCCACUAAUAUUCACACUAGAUAUUCCACUAACAGUACUAGGACAAGCUGCUCCAUUAUCUAUUCUCCUGGGAUCAGAUUCUGCAUUCUCUACCAACUGAUUUGCUAUUUGCAAGUACUUAGUCUUGAGGAGUUUGCUCUAGUCUUUCAAAAGGAAAGUGAUGUGGGUUCAAUCUUGAGGGAGCACCUCCGAAUCAGAAGAAAUCUUCGCAUCAUAAGCCAUAGGUUUCGAAGGUUCAUCUUGCUGUCUCUGGUUUUGGUCACUGCAAGUCAGUUAAUUUCAUUGCUGGUGACCACCCGUUCCAGUGCUCAUAACAACAUAUUCGAGGCUGGAGAACUCGCGUUGUGCUCCAUAAAUUUGGUGACGGGCCUCUUCAUAUGCUUGCGAAGCGCUACAAAAAUCACCCACAGAGCACAGUCCGUGACAAGCCUUGCUACAAAGUGGCAUGUAUGUGCCACAAUAAACUCUUAUGAUGACAUGGACGGUGAGACCCUAGGGGAUCAGACUAGUGCUUGCAGCCACCAUGUAUUUCCUGUGGACAUUUAUUGGGUUUUGGAUGAUGAUGAUGACAAUGGAGAUGAAGAUAUUGAUAAUAGCACCAAAAUGGUACCAAUUUUUGCGUAUACAAUCUCAUUCCAGAGGAGACAGGCCUUAGGUUGGUUUCUCGGUGGGAAAUGGGAACAAAGAUCUUUGAGAAUAUUUACUAAGUAUAACUAAUCAUCCAUCAAUUGUUGCAGUGACAUAUCUGGAAAACAAUAGGGCAGGCAUGACAGUUUACGAGUUCAUGAUGGACAGAACCCAUGGCUCCAUACCAUAUUUGGGAUUGAACUAGCUCUACUACUUUGGUUGCUCAACAAGACAAUAGGUAUUUUUCUUAAUCUCAAUUUUCUACAUGCGCCUUUGCUUGUGUGUGUGCAUGGUAUUUUUCAACAAUCACCAUAAAGAUGGCGUGAUUUCAUCACGAUCAGUAUGGUAAUCUAAUUGGAUUUUGAAUGUUGAAAACAAUAAAUUAAUCUUGAAAUCUCUAGCACCAAUUAUUUUUAUUCUUUUUUUAUACAAAAACUUAACUUCUUUCACUUCCUUUUUUUAACACUCAGUGAAUUGGACAUGAAAGCGGCAAGACUCCAGUGAUGCAAGGAACUAUACAUUUGGCAGUACUGCGAGUUCAUUUGGCCAAGUGUUAUCGGCUUGAGACUAUGACAUUGUGUGUAUGUAAUAAAAUGAGUUCAUUUGGUUAUCAUUUUUGUUAAUAUGCGAACCGUUAAAUCUAUAUACAGUUUGUGAAUCAUUGACAAGGUUUUGUGAAAUUAAACAAAAAGGCCA